Molecule: small RNA, 163 nt
Filed under: Gopherus agassizii (Agassiz's desert tortoise)
Lineage: Eukaryota; Metazoa; Chordata; Testudines; Testudinidae
Description: TUC338 (ENSGAGG00000022480.1)
Source: RNAcentral
UACAGGGUAGAGGUACCCUGAAUCACAAAGCAGGUACAGCACAGGCAGUGUCAGUGCAAGCUUCCUCACACUGCCAUACCUGUCCACCUCAUCCUUAUCCUGCAGCAGCCAUUUCUGGGGUAUGAUAAGUCAGUCCUCAUGCUCAUUUGUAGGGUUGGUAUCA